GAUGAACGCUGGCGGCGUGCCUAACACAUGCAAGUCGAACGAAGCAUCCCAUAGGAAGUUUUCGGAUGGAAUAUGGGAUGACUGAGUGGCGGACGGGUGAGUAACGCGUGGAUAACCUGCCUCACACUGGGGGAUAACAGUUAGAAAUGGCUGCUAAUACCGCAUAAGCGCACAGUACCGCAUGGUACGGUGUGAAAAACCCAGGUGGUGUGAGAUGGAUCCGCGUCUGAUUAGCUGGUUGGUGAGGUAACGGCUCACCAAGGCGACGAUCAGUAGCCGGCUUGAGAGAGUGAACGGCCACAUUGGGACUGAGACACGGCCCAAACUCCUACGGGAGGCAGCAGUGGGGAAUAUUGCACAAUGGGGGAAACCCUGAUGCAGCGACGCCGCGUGAGUGAAGAAGUAUCUCGGUAUGUAAAGCUCUAUCAGCAGGGAAGAAAAUGACGGUACCUGACUAAGAAGCCCCGGCUAACUACGUGCCAGCAGCCGCGGUAAUACGUAGGGGGCAAGCGUUAUCCGGAAUUACUGGGUGUAAAGGGUGCGUAGGUGGUAUGGCAAGUCAGAAGUGAAAACCCAGGGCUUAACUCUGGGACUGCUUUUGAAACUGUCAGACUGGAGUGCAGGAGAGGUAAGCGGAAUUCCUAGUGUAGCGGUGAAAUGCGUAGAUAUUAGGAGGAACAUCAGUGGCGAAGGCGGCUUACUGGACUGAAACUGACACUGAGGC
Molecule: ribosomal RNA, 724 nt
Filed under: uncultured Lachnospiraceae bacterium
Lineage: Bacteria; Bacillati; Bacillota; Clostridia; Lachnospirales; Lachnospiraceae
Description: bacterial SSU rRNA
Rfam family: Bacterial small subunit ribosomal RNA
Source: RNAcentral